GAUUGAACGCUGGCGGCAGGCCUAACACAUGCAAGUCGAGCGGAUGAAGGGAGCUUGCUCCUGGAUUCAGCGGCGGACGGGUGAGUAAUGCCUAGGAAUCUGCCUGGUAGUGGGGGAUAACGUCCGGAAACGGGCGCUAAUACCGCAUACGUCCUGAGGGAGAAAGUGGGGGAUCUUCGGACCUCACGCUAUCAGAUGAGCCUAGGUCGGAUUAGCUAGUUGGUGGGGUAAAGGCCUACCAAGGCGACGAUCCGUAACUGGUCUGAGAGGAUGAUCAGUCACACUGGAACUGAGACACGGUCCAGACUCCUACGGGAGGCAGCAGUGGGGAAUAUUAGACAAUGGGCGAAAGCCUGAUCCAGCCAUGCCGCGUGUGUGAAGAAGGUCUUCGGAUUGUAAAGCACUUUAAGUUGGGAGGAAGGGCAGUAAGUUAAUACCUUGCUGUUUUGACGUUACCAACAGAAUAAGCACCGGCUAACUUCGUG
Molecule: ribosomal RNA, 485 nt
Filed under: uncultured bacterium
Lineage: Bacteria
Description: partial 16S ribosomal RNA
Rfam family: Bacterial small subunit ribosomal RNA
Source: RNAcentral